Molecule: ribosomal RNA, 478 nt
Filed under: uncultured bacterium
Lineage: Bacteria
Description: partial 16S ribosomal RNA
Rfam family: Bacterial small subunit ribosomal RNA
Source: RNAcentral
GACGAACGCUGGCGGCGUGCUUAACACAUGCAAGUCGAACGGGAUUUCGUAAACAGAAGCCUCGGUGGAAGAUUACUAAUGAGAGUGGCGAACGGGUGAGUAACGCGUGAGCAACCUGCCUAUGACAGUGGGAUAGCCUCGGGAAACCGGGAUUAAUACCGCAUAAAAUCGUAGAAACACAUGUUUUAACGGUCAAAGAUUUAUCGGUCAUAGAUGGGCUCGCGUCUGAUUAGCUAGUUGGUGAGAUAACAGCCCACCAAGGCGACGAUCAGUAGCCGGUCUGAGAGGAUGAACGGCCACAUUGGAACUGAGACACGGUCCAAACUCCUACGGGAGGCGGCAGUGGGGAAUAUUGCACAAUGGGGGAAACCCUGAUGCAGCGACGCCGCGUGAACGAAGAAGGUAUUCGUAUCGUAAAGUUCUGUCCUAUGGGAAGAUAAUGACAGUACCAUAGAAGAAAGCUCCGGCUAAAUACGUG